UCGACCCUACUAGAAGAAUAACAGGUAGUUUUCCUAUCUGCACUGCUAUUUAAGAUAGACUGGAAAGCUUGAAAGAUCAACAAUUUGACUAAAACAACCUCUUUGUAAUAAACAUAGUAUACCUCUUUUCUUGAAUGAAUUCACACUUUUAACGCUAUGGAGUCCAUCUUGCCACCAUAUCUUCUUACUGAAACUUUCCCUUCUUGCAUUAGUGUAAUAAGGGGAGCUAAAGCG
RNAcentral lists this unclassified non-coding RNA (234 nucleotides) under Hevea brasiliensis (rubber tree). Lineage: Eukaryota; Viridiplantae; Streptophyta; Magnoliopsida; Malpighiales; Euphorbiaceae. The record is from RNAcentral.